CGAAGAACCUUACCUGGUCUUGACAUCCACAGAACUUUCCAGAGAUGGAUUGGUGCCUUCGGGAACUGUGAGACAGGUGCUGCAUGGCUGUCGUCAGCUCGUGUUGUGAAAUGUUGGGUUAAGUCCCGCAACGAGCGCAACCCUUAUCCUUUGUUGCCAGCGAUUAGGUCGGGAACUCAAAGGAGACUGCCAGUGAUAAACUGGAGGAAGGUGGGGAUGACGUCAAGUCAUCAUGGCCCUUACGACCAGGGCUACACACGUGCUACAAUGGCGCAUACAAAGAGAAGCGACCUCGCGAGAGCAAGCGGACCUCAUAAAGUGCGUCGUAGUCCGGAUUGGAGUCUGCAACUCGACUCCAUGAAGUCGGAAUCGCUAGUAAUCGUGGAUCAGAAUGCCACGGUGAAUACGUUCCCGGGCCUUGUACACACCGCCCGUCACACCAUGGGAGUGGGUUGCAAAAGAAGUAGGUAGCUUAACCUUCGGGAGGGCGCUUACCACUUUGUGAUUCAUGACUGGGGUGAAGUCGUAACAAGGUAACCGUAGGGGAACCUGC
This 553-nucleotide ribosomal RNA is filed under the name Salmonella enterica. RNAcentral describes it as "bacterial SSU rRNA". It matches the Rfam family "Bacterial small subunit ribosomal RNA", at positions 962 to 1515 of the family's 1533-position model. Lineage: Bacteria; Pseudomonadati; Pseudomonadota; Gammaproteobacteria; Enterobacterales; Enterobacteriaceae. The record is from RNAcentral.